GGAGUUGUGACUCAGUGGUAGAGCACUUGCCUGGCAUGUAUGAGGCCCUGGGUUCAAUCCUCAGCACUGCA
RNAcentral lists this transfer RNA (71 nucleotides) under Marmota monax (woodchuck). RNAcentral describes it as "tRNA.Ala". The stretch from base 6 to 66 matches the Rfam family "tRNA", at positions 6 to 65 of the family's 71-position model. Rfam says of the family: Transfer RNA (tRNA) molecules are approximately 80 nucleotides in length. Their secondary structure includes four short double-helical elements and three loops (D, anti-codon, and T loops). Lineage: Eukaryota; Metazoa; Chordata; Mammalia; Rodentia; Sciuridae. The record is from RNAcentral.